RNAcentral lists this ribosomal RNA (253 nucleotides) under uncultured bacterium. Its description in RNAcentral is "partial 16S ribosomal RNA". It matches the Rfam family "Bacterial small subunit ribosomal RNA", at positions 524 to 776 of the family's 1533-position model. The record is from RNAcentral.
GACAGAGGGUGCGAACGUUGUUCGGAAUUACUGGGCGUAAAGCGCAUGUAGGCUGUCGCGCAAGUCGGGUGUGAAAGCCCAGGGCUCAACCCUGGAAGUGCACUCGAAACUGCAGGACUAGAAUCUCGGAGAGGGUAGCGGAAUUCUGGGUGUAGAGGUGAAAUUCGUAGAUAUCCAGAGGAACACCGGUGGCGAAGGCGGCUACCUGGACGAGUAUUGACGCUGAGAUGCGAAAGCGUGGGGAGCAAACAGG